UUAGAGAGUUGCAUUUGUUGAGAGGUGA
This 28-nucleotide small RNA is filed under the name Bombyx mori (domestic silkworm). RNAcentral describes it as "ovarian small RNA-36699". The record is from RNAcentral. Lineage: Eukaryota; Metazoa; Arthropoda; Insecta; Lepidoptera; Bombycidae.